Molecule: ribosomal RNA, 253 nt
Filed under: uncultured bacterium
Lineage: Bacteria
Description: partial 16S ribosomal RNA
Rfam family: Bacterial small subunit ribosomal RNA
Source: RNAcentral
UACGUAGGGGGCAAGCGUUGUCCGGAAUGACUGGGCGUAAAGGGCGUGUAGGCGGCCGAUUAAGUCUGGAGUGAAAGUCCUGCUUUCAAGGUGGGAAUUGCUUUGGAGACUUGUUGGCUUGAGUGCGGAAGAGGCAAGUGGAAUUCCCAGUGUAGCGGUGGAAUGCGUAGAGAUUGGGAGGAACACCAGUGGCGAAGGCGACUUGCUGGGCCGUAACUGACGCUGAGGCGCGAAAGCGUGGGGAGCGAACAGG